This 1100-nucleotide long non-coding RNA is filed under the name Mytilus galloprovincialis (Mediterranean mussel). The record is from RNAcentral. Lineage: Eukaryota; Metazoa; Mollusca; Bivalvia; Mytilida; Mytilidae.
GCAAUUUGAAACUCAAUCUCAACAAAAUGACCGAAAUUAUUUCUGUUGAAAAAUAAAAUUUGACCUAAAUCCCAAUAAAUGAUUUAGGACUUUUGAGUAUCCAAAUCGGUCAUGUCUGGCAUAUAUGACCGUUUCCGGACCCUUGAGCACAUAUAUACUUUUUGCAUUAGGCCAAAAAAGAUAUUCUUGGUUUUCAUGUACACAUAAUUUUUAAUACCUCAAAAUGCCUACAAUAAUGUAUUUUAUUGGCACUUUUUGAUUGUUAAUCCUAAUAAAGUUAGAUCUCCUUAUAUAUUCCUGGAAAAGAUAAUUCAGUUAUAAUUUGACAGAAGUAAGAUAACAUGCUGUUCUGGUCUCACACAAAAUCAAAGAUAGGGACAUACAUUAAUAUAAUAUAAGUUCCACCUAAAUACAAAACUAUAUUUUUUGUGAGUGCAUGCAUCUUAAAAUGUUUCUUUCAAAACUAUUAUCAAAUGGGCAUAUUUUCAAUGUAAUUUUUUUGGAUUUCUUCUAAUAUCUGCUGCAGCUGAGGUUUCAAGUAAUUAAAUGUUGACUGAAUAUCAAACAUUUGUUUUACAUAUCAGGGGCAUAUUGAUUUCAUUGAAAAAACAGGACCAUUUAAUAAUUAAAUAAACAGCUGCGCCAUGAGCGCAUGAUACGCCCGACGUCUUGUGUGGAAGUUUUAUGCAAUAAUCAUAAAUAGUUUCUGAGAAAGUUUAAGCAAUAACCUUAUAUUGUUUUUGAGACACGGCGGGACAUGUGAAACCCCCAACCCUGUUUUUUUUUUUACAAAAAACUCAAUAUCACUAAAAUAAAAUUUUGAAUCAAAACCAAAAAGUAUACAGAUCUUUAGAUUAAUAUAACAAAGAAGUGUGUAAAGUUUUAAGCAAUAAUCAUAAAUUAUUUUUGAGAUACAGCGCGACAUGUAAAAAAAACCCUCCCCUGUUUAACAAAAUACUCAAUAACUCCAAAAAAAAGUUUUGAAUCAUCACCAAAAAGUAUACAGAUCUUUAGAUUAAUAUAACAAAGAAGUGUGUAAAGUUUUAAGCAAUAGUCAUAAAUUGUUUUUGAGAUACGGCACAACAUGUAAAAAAAAAACC